UGGGGAAUAUUGCACAAUGGGCGCAAGCCUGAUGCAGCCAUGCCGCGUGUGUGAAGAAGGCCUUCGGGUUGUAAAGCACUUUCAGCGGGGAGGAAGGCGAUAAGGUUAAUAACCUUGUCGAUUGACGUUACCCGCAGAAGAAGCACCGGCUAACUCCGUGCCAGCAGCCGCGGUAAUACGGAGGGUGCAAGCGUUAAUCGGAAUUACUGGGCGUAAAGCGCACGCAGGCGGUCUGUCAAGUCGGAUGUGAAAUCCCCGGGCUCAACCUGGGAACUGCAUUGGAAACUGGCAGGCUAGAGUCUUGUAGAGGGGGGUAGAAUUCCAGGUGUAGCGGUGAAAUGCGUAGAGAUCUGGAGGAAUACCGGUGGCGAAGGCGGCCCCCUGGACAAAGACUGACGCUCAGGUGCGAAAGCGUGGGGAGCAAACAGG
This 429-nucleotide ribosomal RNA is filed under the name Chloroflexota bacterium. RNAcentral describes it as "Chloroflexi bacterium partial 16S ribosomal RNA". It matches the Rfam family "Bacterial small subunit ribosomal RNA", at positions 355 to 776 of the family's 1533-position model. The record is from RNAcentral. Lineage: Bacteria; Bacillati; Chloroflexota.